AGAGUUUGAUCCUGGCUCAGAACGAACGCUGGCGGCAGGCCUAAUACAUGCAAGUCGAGCGCCCAGCAAUGGGAGCGGCGGACGGGUGCGUAACACGUGGGAACGUACCCUUCGGUUCGGAAUAACUCAGGGAAACUUGAGCUAAUACCGAUUACGCCCGAAAGGGGAAAGAUUUAUCGCCGAAGGAUCGGCCCGCGUUCGAUUAGCUAGUUGGUGGGGUAAUGGCUCACCAAGGCAACGAUCGAUAGCUGGUUUGAGAGAACGACCAGCCACACUGGGACUGAGACACGGCCCAGACUCCUACGGGAGGCAGCAGUAGGGAAUCUUGGACAAUGGGGGAAACCCUGAUCCAGCCAUGCCGCGUGAGUGAUGAAGGCCUUCGGGUUGUAAAACUCUUUCGCGCACGACGAUAAUGACGGUAGUGCGAGAAGAAGCUCCGGCUAACUUCGUGCCAGCAGCCGCGGUAAUACGAAGGGGGCUAGCGUUGUUCGGAAUUACUGGGCGUAAAGCGCGCGCAGGCGGCUUUUCAAGUCAGGGGUGAAAGCCCGGAGCUCAACUCCGGAACUGCCUCUGAGACUGUGAAGCUUGAGUACGGGAGAGGUGAGUGGAAUUCCGAGUGUAGAGGUGAAAUUCGUAGAUAUUCGGAAGAACACCGGUGGCGAAGGCGGCUCACUGGCCCGUUACUGACGCUCAGGCGCGACAGCGUGGGGAGCAAACAGGAUUAGAUACCCUAGUAGUCC
Molecule: ribosomal RNA, 740 nt
Filed under: uncultured bacterium
Lineage: Bacteria
Description: bacterial SSU rRNA
Rfam family: Bacterial small subunit ribosomal RNA
Source: RNAcentral